This 259-nucleotide long non-coding RNA is filed under the name Setaria italica (foxtail millet). Its description in RNAcentral is "long non-coding RNA (SITA_LNC002112)". The record is from RNAcentral. Lineage: Eukaryota; Viridiplantae; Streptophyta; Magnoliopsida; Poales; Poaceae.
CCUGCUGGAUGCCGCCGGCGGCGGCCUCGCCGUCGCGCUCUCGGCCCACCUGCGCCCCUGUGCCUGCCAGCCGCGCGGGCUGCUGGCCUCGACGCUGUGCGCGCCCGUGCCCAGGUCGGCCUCACCAAGCGCUCGCAGGCACCGUGCAGCCCAGAGAGAGAUUUGAGUGGUGCCUGGCGCGGAUGAAUUUCCCCCUGGUGAAAGGAUAAGGUAGGAGGGAAAGGAUACGGUGGGAGAGGAUAAAGUUUUUAUGGUACCC